This is a long non-coding RNA of Oncorhynchus tshawytscha (Chinook salmon), 2295 nucleotides long. RefSeq lists it as uncharacterized. The record is from RefSeq and is a predicted model, not a curated record. The transcript has 3 exons. Lineage: Eukaryota; Metazoa; Chordata; Actinopteri; Salmoniformes; Salmonidae.
UAUUUUGCAUUGCGUCCUCAACAUUACAUUAAGGGCAAUAAUAGCAUACUUUUAUUUACAACUCGCAGGAUUUCCAUGGGUGAGCUUUCAACCCAAAUCUGUACAGCAUUGUUAGUCUUUACUGAUAAGAAACCGCGGGAGCAGUUGUCUGAUUCUCGCUCGUGCUGGAGGAGCGUUCAUUUUGGCAAGGAAAUGUGCUGAUUUUGCAACGACAUGGAGAAGAAAGUGUUCAAGGAAUCAGUGGGAAUGACCUCACCCUCACAGACCUGGGUGACCCCAUCAAUGACGGUGAUGUUAUGAAGGAAGUCAAACCUGAUACAGAUCAGAGAGACAGACCAAGUUGGAAGAGGCUGUUCUAGAGACAGAUAUCCCAACUCUGUGACUUGAGGAUGAAGGAGAAAUUAAGAUGCAGGAGGCUGAUCUGAAGACAGAUGGCACAUCUCAGUCACAGGAGGUUGAGGGAGAGAGCGAGUUGGACGAGGCCAUUGUCAUCCCAUCUCAGUCACAGGAGGUAUGAUGCAUUGCGUUUUGUGUUUUAAUGACGCAGUGAAGAUUAAAAUGCCAAAUUAAUUUCCCAAGCUUUAGCUUAUAAAGGUCUUCUAAUCUAGGAGGCCAAAGGAGAGAGUGAGUUAAAUCAGGUUGAUCUGAAGACAGCCACAUCAACUCUGACACUGGAGGUCGAAGGAUAGAGUGUGAUGCAGGAGAGUGAUGAUCUAGAGACAGCUGGGACAUCUCAAUCCCAGGAGACUGAACGAGUGGCAAAGGUAAAUGCUUCCAGAUAACAGUGUGUGUGUGUGUACAUGUCUGUUUGUGCACACAGACAGUAGUUCGUAAACAGACAUUGCGUGAACAGUGCCUAUGGCGAAUUUGAUUGAAUUCCAGCCUAAGUCUGCUUUCUGUCAUCCCCAUCAGGCUGCAGUGGUGACCUUCACUACCAUGACCCGCAAGGCUGCAGCCUCCCAGACCAGCCUCACCCUCAGCAGGGGAAAGAGAAGCUACCCAGACCUACACGCCUUUGUGCAGGACAUAAAGGAUGGGUAGUUGCUCUUUGGUUCCCCAUGCAUCCCCUAGAUAUGUUCGCUAUUAGAGCCUUGGUCAACAAUAGUUCCGUAUUUAAGGAAUAGGGGCCAUUUGGGACGUACCCAUAGGGACAAUCUCAAUUGCAUUCUCCUCGAGUCCUCUCUUCUCGCCUCCUUCUCAAACCCAUUGGAUGAGAAAGCCCUCCCUUUUGACCUUCUCGUCCAAUGGGUUUUGAGAAGGAGGUGAGGUGUCUCGGGAAAUACAAGGGACUCAACUGACCAAUCAGGGAUGUUUGGAUGUGGCCUACUUCCGUAGAGGUCCAUCCAUAACGUAAUCUAAGAGAAUAGAGGUAAUAUCAUGUAGUUUAUUUGUGUACCUGUUUUUAUUUACUUUUCAGCCAUUGGAAUCUGCUGAGUGAGAAUAUGCGUGCCGGGGUGAGUUAUAGUCACUUCUAAAGUAGUUCAUGUUGGUAAGAUGGACCAAACAUUCCAAACUCUUAUUGGUGGAAAUCGUGCAGGAGCUUUAAUUCAGAGGUUCCCAAACUUUUCUACUUAGGCCCCCCUUUCCAGCAUUGUGGAACAUCCUGAACCACUGCUUUAAUUGACUAGCUUGAGUAAACACAUGGUGCAGCAGUGCAGCUCCGUUAAAAGACCAUAUUGAGUUAGUUUGUUAACAUUUCAGAUGAGCAGAGAUGAGUUUAGUGCUAGGUGCAUAUGGAUAUUACAAAUUGGGUGAUGGAGUCUACAUCCACUGUGGUCGUUCCUGCCAUUGACCUCACUAUGCAGAUCGAGCUCUCUGAUUCGUCAAGCUCUUCUGGAUCAGGAAGUAAUGAGACAAGAGAAGUGACCUCUCUUGGCCGCAGCGUCAGAUUCAGCUUUUGUGGUGGACCCAGUAGACGCACCAGUUCUGGAACUGCUUGAAGCACACAAACUCCCACGCCUUUCCCCUCCUCUCACAGGUACCUAUCCCCAUCCCCUCCUCUCACAGGUACCUACCCCCAUCCCCUCCUCUCACAGGUACCUACCAUUAUAGGUACCUACCCCUAUCCCCUUUUCUCACAGUUACCUACCAUUAUAGGUACCUACUCCUAUCCCCUUCUCUCACAGGUACCUACCCCUAUCCCUUCCUCUCAUGGGAACCUACCCCUUUCCCCUCCGCUUGUAGGUCUUUCUAAAAACAUUAUUCCCAUGUCCCUUAUCAUAAGUACAAAUAUCCAUUCCGGAUCCACUUAGUGUUGAAAUACUACACAACUACUCUAAAAGGUUUACUCUAAAU